Molecule: long non-coding RNA, 596 nt
Organism: Gorilla gorilla gorilla (western lowland gorilla)
Lineage: Eukaryota; Metazoa; Chordata; Mammalia; Primates; Hominidae
Exons: 4
Source: RefSeq, a predicted model, not a curated record
CUCUAGCUGUGGUGCUACAUUAAAGAUAGAAAUUACAGCAGAUCCUUUGUCAGAAACUACUCAAACCAAGAAGUCAAAGGAGUGGCAUUCUUAAAGUGCUGAAAGCAAACAAAACAAAACAACCUGUGAACUCAGGAUUCUAUGAGCAGCGAAAAUAUUUUUCAAAAUGAAGGAGAAAUAAAGCCUUCUCUAGACAAACAAAAAUCAAGAAUUAUUAACUGUAAAACCCUCUACAAAUUUUUAAACAAAAGUUUUUAGACAGAAGCAAUGAUACCACACAGAAAAAUUAAGUAUAUUGCAGUUUCCAAGAAUCUAUUGAUGAUGUGAAGUGAGGACUUACAGUAUACACAAAGAAAUGAAGAUCUCUGGAAAUGGCUAAAAUAAAGAAGAAAAAAGAAAGAAAAACAUGAGGGGACACCUAUUCCAGCAGAGGUUCACCAUCUCAAAUAUAAAAAAGCAAAUGCUGGAGAAAGUGAGGAGAAAUAAAGAGAGGAAGAUGUUUAUAUUUCUGAGAAUUAAAACAUCAAAAGCAGCCAUUAAUGUGAUGUUUCCUUAAAUUCACAAAAGAAGAAUCAAAUAAUGUUUUUAUGAGGGGG